This 460-nucleotide ribosomal RNA is filed under the name uncultured bacterium. RNAcentral describes it as "partial 16S ribosomal RNA". It matches the Rfam family "Bacterial small subunit ribosomal RNA", at positions 338 to 795 of the family's 1533-position model. The record is from RNAcentral.
CCUACGUGAGGCAGCAGUGAGGAAUAUUGGUCAAUGGCCGAGAGGCUGAACCAGCCAAGUCGCGUGAGGGAAGACGGCCCUACGGGUUGUAAACCUCUUUUGUCGGGGAGCAAAGCGAGUCACGUGUGACUCUUUGAGCGUACCCGAAGAAAAAGCAUCGGCUAACUCCGUGCCAUCAGCCGCGGUAAUACGGAGGAUGCGAGCGUUAUCCGGAUUUAUUGGGUUUAAAGGGAGCGUAGAUGGGUUGUUAAGUCAGUUGUGAAAGUUUGCGGCGCAAACGUAAAAUUGCAAUUGAUCCUGGCAGUCUUGAGUACAGUUGAGGUAGGCGGAAUUCGUGGUGUAGCGGUGAAAUGCUGAGAUAUCACGAAGAACUCCGAUUGCGAAGGCAGCUUACUAAACUGCCACUGACAUUGAUGCUCGAAAGUGUGGGUAUCAAACAGGAUUAGAUACCCGGGUAGUC